CCUACGGGAGGCUGCAGUGGGGAAUAUUGGACAAUGGGGGCAACCCUGAUCCAGCCAUGCCGCGUGUGUGAAGAAGGCCCUCGGGUUGUAAAGCACUUUCAGUGAGGAAGAACGCCUGGUGGUUAAUACCCAUCAGGAAAGACAUCACUCACAGAAGAAGCACCGGCUAACUCCGUGCCAGCAGCCGCGGUAAUACGGAGGGUGCGAGCGUUAAUCGGAAUUACUGGGCGUAAAGCGCGCGUAGGUGGCUUGAUAAGCCGGUUGUGAAAGCCCCGGGCUCAACCUGGGAACGGCAUCCGGAACUGGCUAGCUAGAGUGCAGGAGAGGAAGGUAGAAUUCCCGGUGUAGCGGUGAAAUGCGUAGAGAUCGGGAGGAAUACCAGUGGCGAAGGCGGCCUUCUGGACUGACACUGACACUGAGGUGCGAAAGCGUGGGUAGCAAACAGGAUUAGAUACCCCAGUAGUC
This 465-nucleotide ribosomal RNA is filed under the name Vreelandella stevensii. RNAcentral describes it as "partial 16S ribosomal RNA". It matches the Rfam family "Bacterial small subunit ribosomal RNA", at positions 338 to 795 of the family's 1533-position model. The record is from RNAcentral. Lineage: Bacteria; Pseudomonadati; Pseudomonadota; Gammaproteobacteria; Oceanospirillales; Halomonadaceae.